Molecule: ribosomal RNA, 601 nt
Filed under: Bacillus cereus
Lineage: Bacteria; Bacillati; Bacillota; Bacilli; Caryophanales; Bacillaceae
Description: bacterial SSU rRNA
Rfam family: Bacterial small subunit ribosomal RNA
Source: RNAcentral
AGCGAAUGGAUUAAGAGCUUGCUCUUAUGAAGUUAGCGGCGGACGGGUGAGUAACACGUGGGUAACCUGCCCAUAAGACUGGGAUAACUCCGGGAAACCGGGGCUAAUACCGGAUAACAUUUUGAACCGCAUGGUUCGAAAUUGAAAGGCGGCUUCGGCUGUCACUUAUGGAUGGACCCGCGUCGCAUUAGCUAGUUGGUGAGGUAACGGCUCACCAAGGCAACGAUGCGUAGCCGACCUGAGAGGGUGAUCGGCCACACUGGGACUGAGACACGGCCCAGACUCCUACGGGAGGCAGCAGUAGGGAAUCUUCCGCAAUGGACGAAAGUCUGACGGAGCAACGCCGCGUGAGUGAUGAAGGCUUUCGGGUCGUAAAACUCUGUUGUUAGGGAAGAACAAGUGCUAGUUGAAUAAGCUGGCACCUUGACGGUACCUAACCAGAAAGCCACGGCUAACUACGUGCCAGCAGCCGCGGUAAUACGUAGGUGGCAAGCGUUAUCCGGAAUUAUUGGGCGUAAAGCGCGCGCAGGUGGUUUCUUAAGUCUGAUGUGAAAGCCCACGGCUCAACCGUGGAGGGUCAUUGGAAACUGGGAGACUUGAG